GAUGAAGAACGUAGCGAAAUGCGAUAAGUAAUGUGAAUUGCAGAAUUCAGUGAAUCAUCGAAUCUUUGAACGCACAUUGCGCCCCCUGGUAUUCCGGGGGGCAUGCCUGUCCGAGCGUCAUUACAACCCUCAAGCUCAGCUUGGUGUUGGGCCCCGCCGCCCCGGCGGGCCCUAAAGUCAGUGGCGGUGCCGUCCGGCUCCGAGCGUAGUAAUUCUUCUCGCUCUGGAGGUCCGGUCGUGUGCUCGCCAGCACCCCCCAAUUUUUUUCAGGUUGACCUCGGAUCAGGUAGGGAUACCCGCUGAACUUAAGCAUAUCAAUAAGCGGAGGA
This 329-nucleotide unclassified non-coding RNA is filed under the name soil metagenome. RNAcentral describes it as "partial contains 5.8S ribosomal RNA, internal transcribed spacer 2, and large subunit ribosomal RNA". The stretch from base 1 to 120 matches the Rfam family "5.8S ribosomal RNA", at positions 35 to 154 of the family's 154-position model. The record is from RNAcentral.